GCUCUGGUGGUGGAAUUGGUAGACACGUAAGUUUCAGGUACUUAUGGGAGUUUUCCCGUGAAGGUUCAAGUCCUUUCCAGAGCACCA
Molecule: transfer RNA, 87 nt
Filed under: Alphaproteobacteria bacterium
Lineage: Bacteria; Pseudomonadati; Pseudomonadota; Alphaproteobacteria
Description: tRNA-Leu
Rfam family: tRNA
About the family: Transfer RNA (tRNA) molecules are approximately 80 nucleotides in length. Their secondary structure includes four short double-helical elements and three loops (D, anti-codon, and T loops).
Source: RNAcentral